UUUUAUUUGAGAGUUUGAUCCUGGCUCAGGAUGAACGCUGGCGGCGUGCCUAACACAUGCAAGUUGAGCGAUUUACUUCGGUAAAGAGCGGCGGACGGGUGAGUAACGCGUGGGUAACCUACCCUGUACACACGGAUAACAUACCGAAAGGUAUGCUAAUACGGGAUAAUAUAUUUGAGAGGCAUCUCUUGAGUAUCAAAGGUGAGCCAGUACAGGAUGGACCCGCGUCUGAUUAGCUAGUUGGUAAGGUAACGGCUUACCAAGGCGACGAUCAGUAGCCGACCUGAGAGGGUGAUCGGCCACAGUGGAACUGAGACACGGUCCAAACUCCUCCGGGAGGCAGCAGUGGGGAAUAUUGCACAAUGGGCGAAAGCCUGAUGCAGCAACGCCGCGUGAGUGAUGAAGGCCUUCGGGUCGUAAAACUCUGUCCUCAAGGAAGAUAAUGACGGUACUUGAGGAGGAAGCCCCGGCUAACUACGUGCCAGCAGCCGCGGUAAUACGUAGGGGGCUAGCGUUAUCCGGAUUUACUGGGCGUAAAGGGUGCGUAGGCGGUCUUUCAAGUCAGGAGUGAAAGGCUACGGCUCAACCGUAGUAAGCUCUUGAAACUGGGAGACUUGAGUGCAGGAGAGGAGAGUGGAAUUCCUAGUGUAGCGGUGAAAUGCGUAGAUAUUAGGAGGAACACCAGU
RNAcentral lists this ribosomal RNA (686 nucleotides) under Clostridioides difficile. RNAcentral's name for it is "bacterial SSU rRNA". It matches the Rfam family "Bacterial small subunit ribosomal RNA", at positions 1 to 713 of the family's 1533-position model. Lineage: Bacteria; Bacillati; Bacillota; Clostridia; Peptostreptococcales; Peptostreptococcaceae. The record is from RNAcentral.